Molecule: ribosomal RNA, 1315 nt
Filed under: unidentified marine bacterioplankton
Lineage: Bacteria
Description: bacterial SSU rRNA
Rfam family: Bacterial small subunit ribosomal RNA
Source: RNAcentral
GAGUUUGAUCAUGGCUCAGAACGUACGCUGGCGGCACGCCUAACACAUGCAAGUCGAACGAAGUAGCAAUACUUAGUGGCAGACGGGUGAGUAACAUGUAGGUAUCUGCCCUUUGGCCUGGAAUAACACGAGGAAACUUGUGCUAAUACCGGAUAAGUCUUUACGGAGAAAGCUUUAUGCACCAUUGGAUGAGCCUGCACUUGAUUAGUUUGUUGGUGGGGUAAUGGCCUACCAAGACUGUGAUCAAUAGCUGAUUUGAGAGGAUGAUCAGCCACAUUGGGACUGAGACACGGCCCAAACUCCUACGGGAGGCAGCAGUGGGGAAUCUUGCACAAUGGAGGAAACUCUGAUGCAGCGAUGCCGCGUGAGUGAAGAAGGCCUUUGGGUUGUAAAGCUCUUUCGUCGGGGAAGAAAAUGACUGUACCCGAAUAAGAAGGUCCGGCUAACUUCGUGCCAGCAGCCGCGGUAAUACGAAGGGACCUAGCGUAGUUCGAAAUUACUGGGCUUAAAGAGUUCGUAGGUGGUUGAAAAAGUUGGUGGUGAAAUCCCAGAGCUUAACUCUGGAACUGCCAUCAAAACUUUUCAGCUAGAGUAUGAUAGAGGAAAGCAGAAUUUCUAGUGUAGAGGUGAAAUUCGUAGAUAUUAGAAAGAAUACCAAUUGCGAAGGCAGCUUUCUGGAUCAUUACUGACACUGAGGAACGAAAGCAUGGGUAGCGAAGAGGAUUAGAUACCCUCGUAGUCCAUGCCGUAAACGAUGUGUGUUAGACGUUGGAAAUUUUUUUUCAGUGUCGCAGCGAAAGCGAUAAACACACCGCCUGGGGAGUACGUCCGCAAGGUUAAAACUCAAAUGAAUUGACGGGGACCCGCACAAGUAGUGGAGCAUGUGGUUUAAUUCGAAGAUACGCGCAGAACCUUACCAACACUUGACAUGUUCGUCGCGACUUUAAGAGAUUAAAGUUUUCGGUUCGGCCGGACGAAACACAGGUGCUGCAUGGCUGUCGUCAGCUCGUGUCGUGAGAUGUUGGGUUAAGUCCCGCAACGAGCGCAACCCUCACUUUUAGUUGCCAUCAUUAAGUUGGGCACUCUGAAAGAACUGCCAGUGAUAAGCUGGAGGAAGGUGGGGAUGACGUCAAGUCCUCAUGGCCCUUACGUGUUGGGCUACACACGUGCUACAAUGAUAUCUACAACAGGAAGCAAGACUGCGAAGUUAAGCAAAUCCUUAAAAGAUAUCUCAGUUCGGAUUGCACUCUGCAACUCGAGUGCAUGAAGCUGGAAUUACUAGUAAUCGUGGAUCAGCGUGCCACGGUGAAUGCGU